UACGGGGGGGGCAAGCGUUGUUCGGAAUUACUGGGCGUAAAGGGCUCGUAGGCGGCCAACUAAGUCAGACGUGAAAUCCCCCGGCUCAACCUGGGAACUGCGUCUGAUACUGGAUGGCUUGAAUCCGGGAGAGGGAAGUGGAAUUUCAGGUGUAGCGGUGAAAUGCGUAGAUAUCUGAAGGAACAUCAGUGGCGAAAGCGACUUCCUGGACCAAUACUGACGCUCAUGUGCGAAAGCGUGGGGAGCAAACAGG
RNAcentral lists this ribosomal RNA (253 nucleotides) under uncultured bacterium. RNAcentral describes it as "partial 16S ribosomal RNA". It matches the Rfam family "Bacterial small subunit ribosomal RNA", at positions 524 to 776 of the family's 1533-position model. The record is from RNAcentral.